Zootoca vivipara (common lizard) is the source of this 8247-nucleotide non-coding RNA. The record is from RefSeq and is a predicted model, not a curated record. Lineage: Eukaryota; Metazoa; Chordata; Lepidosauria; Squamata; Lacertidae.
CAGCUGCAGGGAACUUGCUUCUCCUACACUGCCAGAAAUUCACACACCCCAAGCUAUUCUUGGUCCUUUGGCUUACGGGUAGAGUCAGAACACCUUUCGUGACACACUGUUAUUUCUGGCAUGGAGGUGGGGGCACAGAAUCAAGCUUCUUCUCUGGACAGCAGAUGGAGCCAGGCCAUGAGUUUUCUCUUGCCAUAAGUUUCUUCCUGGGAGGAAGAGGGUUCAGCUUCCCAGGGAUCCUUAGUCUUUUGGCCAAUAGAUGAGGCCAGAGUGAGCUUCCCUUCCGAGGACGAAACCAUGGAUCACAGUCCAAGUUUGAGAAAGGCAAAUGUUAGUUUUGUGGUGUAGAUGUUUGAUGUCGUCUGCCAUGAAAGUUGCUAAAGUUAUCAGAGUCACAUAACUGAGAUGAAUACAGUGUCUGGGAGUGAGAGUAGCUCAGUAGAGCUUGCUGUUGUUUAGUCGAUUAGUCGUGUCCGACUCUUCAUGACCCCAUGGACCAAAGCACACCAGGCACUUCUGUCUUCCACUGCCUCCCGCAGUUUGGUCAGACGCAUGUUGGUAGCUUCAAGAACACUGUCCAACCAUCUCGUCCUCUGUCGUCCCCUUCUCCUUGUGCCCUCAAUCUUUCCCAACAUCAGGGUCUUUUCCAUGGAGUCUUCUCUGCUCAUGAGGUGGCCAAAGUAUUGGAGCCUCAGCUUCACGAUCUGUCCUUCCAGUGAGCACUCAGGGCUGAUUUCCUUCAGAAUGGAUAGGUUUGAUCUUCUUGCAGUCCAUGGGACUCUCCAGAGUCUCCUCCAGCACCAUAAUUCAAAAGCAUCAAUUCUUCAGCGAUCAGCCUUCUUUAUGGUCCAGCUCUCACUUCCAUAGAGCAUGAGACACUUAAUCUCAGGGCUGUGGGUUCAAGCCCCACAUAGGGCAGAAUAUUCCUACAUUUGCAGGUAGUUGGGACUAGAUGACCCUUACGGUCAACUCUACAAUUCUAUGAUUCUAUGUUUAAAGGCACUGGAAUAUCUUUUUUAAAAAACCCAAUAAUAAACAGUAGAAAGUAACUUAAGUAAAUUCAUAACAUCAUUUCUUUCCUUUAGAACUACAAAGGAAGCUAAUUUAUACAACACUAAUUCAAACCAUAUUAUCAUCUUAGCAAAGAUUAUGCAAUCCUUUGUGGGCUUUACAAGCCUAACUGCAGCAUCUUAAGCAGCAUAUAAACCUCACUGAUUCAAAAAUAGAUUUAAAUAACUGGAAAUAAAAGAAAACAGCUAGGUUAAAAUCAUACUAAAUGCAGUGGCUUUGAAAGAAAAAGUGAUGUAUCACCUAAGGUUAAACUUUUAAAAUCUAAAGUGUUAUAAAAUAAUCAGACAACUACAGUUUUCUGUAGUUAAAACUUUUUUUAUUUUAAUGCAACUUGAGUGUUGAUGGAAUUUCUGGCAGGUCGAACCAAAAAUAAACUAGAAUGGCCACAAAAAUGCGAAGUGAAGUCAUGGAUUGAUUUUACUGGUUAUCCAAUAAAAAUCUUCCCUUUUCAGUAUUAAAGUGUCACUAGCAACAUGUGAGCAAGCAGUACUAGGGUUCAGUUUUAAAUUUUUACCUUGCACUUCAGGUCACAGAGCAAUUUGUAGGGCUGUUAUGUAUUACAAGAAUAAGCAGGCACAUGACCCCUCGCAAUGACCUGGACCUUUCUGAACUAACAAAGCGCUUUCUAGCUGAACGACUAGGUAAAAAAAAGUCUUCACGCUUAUAGUGGAGAGGAUGUCAAAAUGUCUCAGCAUGGAGCCAAAGCUUGGCCUGCAGGGCAGCAACCAAAUUUACACCAAAACGGUUGUUAAAUGAAAAAGCAGCCCUUUAAAAUAAAUAAAUAAAUAAAGGGUACUGCAUUGUACAUGCUCAGAGACUUCUGGGGGGAAAACCCACUCACAAGCAGUGUAAUGCUUUGAGAACUCAAAACCAAAAAGUAUUGACAAUUUAUCAAUUCGGGAAGGGCCAUAAGCUCAGUGGCAGAGCAGCUGCUUUGCAUGUAAAUGGACCCAGAUUUAAUCCCCAGCAUAGCUGCCAAGUUUUCCCUUUUCUCGCGAGGAAGCCUAUUCAGCAUAAGGGAAUUUCCCUUAAAAAAAGGGAGAACUUGGCAGCUAUGAUCCCCAGUAGCACCAAUCAGAGGGAUGCGGGUGGCACUGUGGGUUAAAGGUUGGUGGUUCGAAUUCCCGCGAUGGGGUGAGCUCCCGUUGCUUGGUCUCUGCUCCUGCCAACCUAGGAGUUCGAAAGCACGUCAAAGUGCAAGUACAGUAGAUAAAUAGGUACCACUCCAGUGGGAAGGUAAACGGCGUUUCCGUGUGUUGCUCUGGUUCACCGGAAGUGGCUUUGUCAUGCUGGCCACAUGACCUGGAAGCUGUACACUGGAUCCCUUGACCAGUAAAGCGAGAUGAGCACUGCAACCCCAGGGUCGGUCACAACUGAACCUAACGGUCAGGGGUCCCUUUACCUUUUUUAGCACCAAUCAGAAACCUGUUGCUGGUGGGGGGGUUCUGUUUGAGAUCCUGGAGGGCUGCUGCCUGUCAAGUGUAUGCCUGGUUGUGAGGAACUUCGGGCCCAUGCCUCUCUAACCACCCCCUCAGUACUCUUCCUAGGCCACACCCGUCUCCAUAGGCCACGCCCCUCACUGAACCUGCGCGGUUCCCUCCUGGGCUCUUUCGCCUGACUGGGACGUGCACUUGAAGCAUUGCCUUCAUAGGCAGGAUAGGUGAACCUGUAGCUUCUACGUGGCUCGAAUGUAGCCUACUGUACAAAGGUAGGUGCUGCAUCUUGCUCUGCCCACUUUGGCCUCAACCACCUCCGGCAGGUGACCCCGGAAGGUGCCUUACAGGGAAAAGCAGCUCUCAGGGUGAAAAAGGUUCAUUGGCCCUUGGUGCACACAAUACUAAGCAACAUUAAUUUGUGGUCUGGCUCUAUAUAAGAAGGGGGCUUCCUCUGGUUUCACCCACCACAAGCCCAAUUGCCUGACAUUUUACUGUCAUUAGCAGUGUUUCUUUUCUGCAGAGACGCAUACCCCUAAACAUUUUGUGAAUCUAUGUUUGGCCCCAUUGAGGGGUAUUAUUUCAAUAUGAAUAGAAAAACGAGAGUACCUCUAAACGUGUUUUUUAGGGGGGGGGAUGCACUGGCCAUUAAUAAACAUCAUAUGUGACCACAACAGAACAGCAUGAAGUGUUGGUUUCUGUCAAAACUACAGAAAGCCAGGUGUUGGGGGAAAGAAUAUUAGUCUUCCCCAACCUGGUGCACUCCAGAAACAAGGACUUCAGCUCCUAUCAACUCCAUGCUGGCUGGCGAUGAUGUAAACCAGAGAUUUCCAAACUGUGUGUUGCGACACGUUGGUGUUGGGUACAGUGUGUAGCUGUGCCGUGCAAACGCUCCACGCACAGCUCCUGGGGCUAGAAAUGGGGUUAGUUUAACCUCUGGUUUGCUAGUAAAAACAGGUUGGGAAAGUCUGAAGUAAAUGGUAGCCAAUGUUAUAUAUUUCUGACUCCAGCACAUGCUUCAGCAAAGAGUUUUAACACUUUUUAAAUUAAUGGGGCUUUAAAAAUCUGCUUGAUCAUGGUUAAAUCGUGCUGCGGUUUUGAUUUGCUUCUUUUAAAUAAACAAAAAAUAAUUCCAAGCUCCAAGACAAGAAAAGCAACAUGGUUAAAACAGCCUUGGACAAACAAUGAGCAUAUUAUUGAACUGACAGGUAUACUUUACAGGUAAAGCAAGGUGGCAAAGUCCUCUGCAACAAAGGACUUGGAUAAAGUUCCCCAAACAUAUAAUAGUCUUUUGAUUUUCAUUUUUUGGUCAGGCGCAAGUUGUGGCAAGUGUUUCCCAACAGGGUCAACACAGAAUCUCUCCAAUGGAAAUGAGGCAGGCAUCAUGAAUAUUCCAGAUGGCACAAAUGAGCAACACAAGAGUUUUGUAUUCCAUUAUUGCAGCCUGGCAGUCAGCCACAUGUCUGGAGCAAACAACAAUUACUUCUGGAUAAGUAGCUGUCCAGUCCUGCUGCUGAAGUUGUCCUAUAAACACAUGAGUGGGCAGGCUGGGGGGAAAUGGUCUGCAAAUUUAUAUGUAAGACUUGAGUUAUGGCAUAAAGUUCUUCCCAGCCAUCCUCUACACAAUCAAAAUUGAUCGCUAAAGCUGUACUAUGCAGGAGCCAGUAAAAAAGUACAUAAGGUGAUAUUGGGUGCAAAAAAGUUUAGCUAGCAAGUUCAGCUUUUGCUUUAAUGGGUGGGGAGGAUUUAGCCCUUAUAAUUUUGAAGUUAUGUUUGACAGUGUGUGGGCAAUGCCUGCUGACAUCUCAGAAGACAGAGCAUGUGCUAGCAAAUUUCUCUUUUCUUAGCACAGAAUCUGAACUGUCUGGGUACAGAUUUUUAUCUUACUCACGGCAUAGCACACCAUCCUGCAAAGAUUAACUUUCCUCACAUAAAUUAAAACUGAAGGUACCUGAGGAUCUAUAAAGUCAUGCCUUUCUACAACAAACCUUUUGCCGCCAGAAAUAACAAAAGCGAGUGGCUGAGACCACCUGCCACAUCUUUCCACGUCUGCAAAGUUAUGCACUAGAGCAGAGCUUUCCAAGCCGUGGGUCAUGUGACACGUUAGUGUGUCGGCUGCAGGGUGUAGGUGUGUCACGCGAACGCUCCCUUGUGGUCCUCCCGGGGCUGGAAGGGGGUUAGUUUAACCUCCGGUUUUCUAGGAAAACUGAAUUACUGUCGCGAAAUGAUGCAUGUCUAAAAAGUGUGCCACCAACAUGAAAAGUUGGGAAAGCUCUGCACUAGAGCAACGGGUGGGGAACCUCGGGUUGGGUGCUGGGACAGACCAAAUGCACCCCCCCACCCCAGCUCUCUCAAUCUGGCCCUUGUAUUUCUCAUUGGAAACACAAUGCAGGAUAAGAAAAAUGCUGAAUCAGAAAAUUCAUUCACAAUGCUGAAUCAGAAAAAUUAACCAAGAGAUUACAUACAUUGAAUAAUACACAUCAUGUAGAUGAUUUCGUUGAAAUAUGGCAUCCUUUUAUAAAAAGAAUUUACUGAUAACCCUGAAGAACAGCAACCACAGAAAUCACAGAUUGGACUUGGGCAAAUUUAACUGGAGUGGGGAGGGGAUUUUGUUUUGGUAUCUUUUCCCUUUGUUGCAAUUGUUGUCAUACAAUAAAACUAUAUAUUUUUAAAAAUCUGGCCCUUAGAAGUAUCCCUAGAGUCCACAUCCUUUACAGACCCUGCUUUGAUCCUAACUCAAUUGCUUUUGUUUGGCUGGAAUGUGUCCUUGGGCAGAGAUGACUCAUCUCACUUAUCUGUAUGGCAGAUGGACUAAUGUCUGUGCAUGCAGAAACCUCUGCGUGGAACCUGCGUGGAGCCAGAGCCUUUGUCUUCUGGCCCCCAGAUGUUUGCCCAUGAAGGAAUGUGGCCCUUAGGCUGAAAAAAGAGAAAGCAGAAAUGUAGGAGAGGCGGCUGACCUAAACUGCUGUCUGAGGCAACAGACUGGCUGGAAACUGUGGAUGCAGAUGCAUUUUGAGGCACAAAGGUGAGAAGCACCAGAUUGGUUUCCUGAUUUUAUGGGGAAAUAUUCAACCUUUGCACACGCAUGCAAAUGGCGUUUGCCAUAUUCCAUCUUCAUGCAUACAUACAGGAAUGCUGCAUGUGUGAAUGAGUGAGGAGGGGCUACAUGUACUUGCACUCCUCCAAACACAGGGCCAGAUCUGGGGAACAGGACAUGGAGCUUGGUUUCUCUACGCACAUGCAGUCAUCCAAAAAGAUGUUGGCCAAACCUAGCAGCCAGAGAGAUUUACUAAGCUCCGCUUGGAAGGGAGGAGACAUGGAGACCUGAGUCUGCCAAGGAGAAGUCAGUUCCUGUUCUCUUCUCUCUCUUUUUUAUCACCUUCCAGGCAGUGCUCAAGUCUACAUGGAGCCAUCACCUUAGAGUUCUGAGUAAUGCCUCUUGCAAAAGACUAUUGGGCUGAGGAAGUAGGAGUCGAAGGAGAAAUACCCAAGUCCAUAGCAGCCCACAACUUGCUCUGUGUUAUCGACCUGCAUGCAACAUGAACCACCACAAUUUGAAAACCCAGGCUAAAAUAUAAACCUCUCAUGAGCCGCCUUAUCAGCAAACAGCCAACUGUCACUUAUAAAUCUUGUUUUGUAGGCUGGGGCAGCAAUGCUUUUUGUGUUCAUGUGCGUCAAGAGAAAAAUUAUGGAUGUUCUGUUUUAGGCUCUGUGGAGAAUGCAAGACAAUGCCGGGGGUGAUGGGGAAGGAUCGCUGAUGUUGUUGAUCAGCCCUCUAUUUCUUUCCACUAAUGAAAGUGGCCCAUAAAUAUAAUGUCUUGUUGAGGUCAGCAACUCCAGACACUCUUGAAAAGCCAAGUAAAGCCUAGCAACAACCUAAAAGGUGCAGGUAGGAUGAAACACACAGAGGGCCUGGUCAUCCUUUAAGGUGACAAACAAAAUUCUGUAAUUUUGCCCUGACAUCUUGUGUCGAACGGUCCUGUCUACUGCUCAGCCAUACUAUGGGGUUUCCCCCCCUUUCCUUGAGUACUGUAAGUAAAAUUAUUAAAAACAGCACUAAAAAACUAUUAAAACUAUUUUAAAGUACCAGGGGGGUAGCGGACCAGAAGAAGAAUGUCCACCUUUAGAAGUCGCUACCACAAUAGCCAAUCAGUGGCCAAAGGCCUGUUGGAAUAAUAAAAAAAAAGCUUUUGCCUGCCUGCAAAAGGAAAGCUGAGAGGUAGCUAACCUAGCUUCCCAUGGAAGAGAAUUACACAGCCUGGGAGCAGCCACUGGGAAGGCUACUAUAAGAAUUUAGUCUCUCCUCAGGCAAAAAUUACAAAUACUAUACAAUAGUUUGUAGAGAGCACUGCUAUUUUUUACUUAGUAAAGUAUUUUCAAAGCACUGUUUGAAAGGAGCAUUUCAGCCAUUCCGCCAUUCACAACCCCGUGAGAGGCAAAGCAACUUCAGGCUUAAACACGCGGCGGGUGGGAGGGAGAUUCAAAAACGCCAGCCAGAGUGGCCAAAAACGAAAGGGACUGAGAAUAUAUAGGGGCCCUCCUGUCAAUCAACUGGACAUUAGUUAUUGUCACGCCCACCAGGCUAUUCAGCCUGCCUCAGCCAGCCCUCCCCCAAACCAAGAGGACUUCUCCCAGCCCUUCCGCAACCCUACUAGGUAUACUUUCAUUCUAGUAGCAAUCAAUUAGUUUACAUGCCUAUUCAGAAAAAAAAAGUUUUACAAAUCUGGAAACUUUAUCAGGACAGUAACUGGUAUAAGCUGACAAUUUUAUACUACACAACACAAUAAUUAUUCUAGAAUCGGUAGAUAUGAGGUAACUCUUGCGAUAGCUGAAAGGACGAUUCAAUCUAAUAUAAAAGCCAUUAGUUUUGCUAAUCAUAACGCAGUACAACAUUUUAAAGUACAACUUUGUUACUGGUUAAAUGAGGCAAUGAAAUAAGCAAGUAGCUUAUAUAGAAAUUGCCAGUUUCAUCACUGUGCUAAGCAAUGAAGCAGCUCAGGCAAAAUACCUUAAACAUGUUUUGGAAACAAGGCAUGAAAUAUAACAAUGUCAUAACAGGAAUGAAUACAAGAGAAGACAGCUCUUUAAAUGGCAUCAUGCUGAACAGGAGAUGAGCUUUUCCUCACUGCCACAACAGAAGAAACAAAUCUCACCAGCAUGUUAAAAUAAAAUAAAAAAGACCCAGCAAAAGCAGAAAAGACAUGAAAGUCAAGAAUCGCCCUCAGUGGACAACAACAACAACAACAACAACAACAACAACAACAACAACAACAACAACACAGCCACUGCUAAUGUACUAAAAAUACUUAUUUCUGUGAACUGGUGUUUUUUUCUCCUGAACAACCUUGUGAACAUCCCAAAUACUGUAUACAGAUAAAUCACAAGCCUGGAUAAACAGGAGUCUGUUUGCAAUGUGGAAAUAGUAGAGUACCACAAAGAAGACAGUAUAUGCUUGACUUCAAGAUUUCAAUCUUAACUGGGAAGAGCAAGCAAGCCAGAAAAAAGUUACCAGAGUGGACUAUAAGGAGGCAGGGCCUAGGCAGAGAUGACCUAUCUAGUUAUUUUUAAUUGUGAAACAAACCUAAUAAGUAAUUAUUUGGGGUCCCAAUAUUUAAUCUUUGCUUUGCUUUUAGGUUAACAGAAAAUAAAAAUACCAUAUAUACUCGAGUAUAAGCCUACUUUUUCAGCACCAAAAAUGUGCUGAAAAGGCCGCCCUCGGCUUAUAUUCGAGUGAGGCGGGCGG